This 466-nucleotide ribosomal RNA is filed under the name uncultured bacterium. RNAcentral's name for it is "partial 16S ribosomal RNA". It matches the Rfam family "Bacterial small subunit ribosomal RNA", at positions 330 to 793 of the family's 1533-position model. The record is from RNAcentral.
GCCAGACUCCUACGGGAGGCAGCAGUGAGGAAUAUUGGUCAAUGGGCGCAGGCCUGAACCAGCCAAGUCGCGUGAGGGAAGACUGACCUAUGGGUUGUAAACCUCUUUUAUAAGGGAAGAAUAAUGACUACGUGUAGUCAGAUGCCCGUACCUUAUGAAUAAGCAUCGGCUAACUCCGUGCCAGCAGCCGCGGUAAUACGGAGGGGGCAAGCGUUAUCCGGAUUUACUGGGUGUAAAGGGAGCGUAGACGGCGGCGCAAGUCUGGAGUGAAAGCCCGGGGGCCAACCCCGGGACUGCUCUGGAAACUGCGGCGCUGGAGUACGGGAGGGGCAGGCGGAAUUCCUGGGGUAGCGGUGAAAUGCGUAGAUAUCAGGAGGAACACCGGCGGCGAAGGCGGCCUGCUGGACCGUGACUGACGUUGAGGCUCGAGAGCGUGGGGAGCAAACAGGAUUAGAUACCCCAGUAC